AUUCAUUCCUUCAGGGGUGAAUCGCUCCAAAAAUGUCUCAUGCAUUGACGGAUGCUGCUUUAUUUGUUUUGUCCAUUUUAUGAUGAAGUACUGAAAUCAUCAUGGUUGCAGCAUUUCAGAGCUGAAAAGCAACAUUGCUAUGGUGAUGUCAGUCAGAAUGGCUCCUCCUCUUCAUCUGAUCUUUCUGCUCAUGGUUUCGGGCUGUUCAUCCCUGCACCAACGCUCCUAAAAUGAACAUCCCUCUGUAUGAGAAUGUUACAGUUUAUGAGAAUGUUACCACUAACAGGAAUAUGCUGUAGUGAUGAUGGCACACACCAAAACAUUUUACAGUCUUCGUGUGACUGUGUGGGUGGAGCCUGGAUGAUUGACAGGAGUGUCUGAUGAAGAUUUACUGGAGUAUUUUGAGAAGAUUUAGGAAAUGGAUACAAGUGGAAGUCGAAGACUUGUAGCCGGCAAAUAAUGUCAUCAUGAAAAUAUAUUCUUGCCUGACUUGUUUGAUUAUAAUGGCUUACAAUUAAUGUUAAUUGUUUAUUAGUUCGAUUUUUGUUGUUUGUGUCACUGUAAACAUCUUUAUGAUCAGUGUAGGAAUACAAAUGUUCUAGUAAAUACACUUUUAACAAUGGACAUUUUGAAUUCAUUUUUCAUUCAAUAAAUUAAUAGUCUCAAUA
Molecule: long non-coding RNA, 668 nt
Organism: Ctenopharyngodon idella (grass carp)
Lineage: Eukaryota; Metazoa; Chordata; Actinopteri; Cypriniformes; Xenocyprididae
Exons: 4
Source: RefSeq, a predicted model, not a curated record